Cotesia glomerata is the source of this 677-nucleotide long non-coding RNA. RefSeq lists it as uncharacterized. The record is from RefSeq and is a predicted model, not a curated record. NCBI's taxonomy places the organism in Eukaryota, Metazoa, Arthropoda, Insecta, Hymenoptera, Braconidae. The transcript has 3 exons.
GAAGCUCGGUAUUAUCUUCGAAUAACCUGAAAAAUAAAUUUAUUUUAGAUAAGAUGUGUAAUAUUACAGCUAAAAAGGGAAUGAGAGUGAUAGCUAAGCGAUUUAUAGUAGAGCAUUGAAAUAAAGGCUUUGAAAUUCACUUGACACGUGAACCGUGGUUCAUAAAUACAUGCAUGAACGAAGCAACUGGUACGACGGUGCAUAUAUGUACGUACAUGUGAUGGAAAAACGAGGGCAAAGGGCAUGUACACAUAGAAAGGCUUAUUGAUUCGCCAACUAGGUUGACCGCUGGACCGAGAGACGUAUCAUCACCUUUUGUACUGGCCCGAAUAACGCGCGCACUAAAAGCCGAUUUAUAAACACCCAUCGACUAAGAAUCAACAUUUUAUAAUCGGGAUAUAAAUACCCGCUCAGACUAACAUUUAGAUUAACACUGUCAAAAAUUUAUCCGAUCUAUUGAGGUCUUGUGAUUUUUAAUUUCAAUGGGAUUCUGUUUGAUGAUGUAUCAAGAAGAAAUUUUCAAGCUAAAUAUAACAGUUGAUUGAAUUAAUGUUUAUUUUACUGGAAUGUCUAAUUUAUUUUUAAGCAAUCUUCGGCGGGCGGAUUCCCUCAAACACACCACUCAGUCACAGGUGGUAAUUUCCAGCUUGUUUCUCCAGACGACAGGCACAACUGAG